Long non-coding RNA from Melopsittacus undulatus (budgerigar), 1870 nucleotides. RefSeq lists it as uncharacterized. The record is from RefSeq and is a predicted model, not a curated record. The transcript has 2 exons. Lineage: Eukaryota; Metazoa; Chordata; Aves; Psittaciformes; Psittaculidae.
UUCCGCAUGUGAGUCGUGAAAAAGGAUGUUUCAUGUAUUUCUGGGUGCUUUUUGUUGUUAUAAUUUGUGCUGAUUAUUUACAUUCUUGGCUAUUGUUUGCAUUUACAUCUCUUCAGAAACAAUAUUUAGGACUUCAUAGUAUCUGAUGGCAAAUAUAAAACAGAUAUAUAUAACUUUGAAUGCUUUGGCUUACAUUGAAGCUGGAUUUAUUAAAGGAGCCAUCUCAAGCUAUACCUGUCUAACAAUGCUUUGGUAAGUGUGUUUGUAUGAAAAAAGUAUUAAAAUGGUGUUACUUUAAAUAUCAGUAUUUCUUUAUUAAAAUUCUUACAAUUGUGUGUUCAUCUUUACAGCAUUUUCUCAAUGAGUGGAAUUGGGAAAUGUUUUGUCAUGCUUUUAGCAAAGUGAGCAAAUAAAGCAAACAUAUCUUAAGUUUUUAACAUAACUUUUUAAACAAUUUCUUAAAUCACUGAGUCUAUAGACAGGUAACAGUUUUAUGGUUAGAAGUUUAAACUGUAUAUCUGACUGAAUUUACUAAUUUUUUUUCUCAUCUUCCACUAAGAUUUUUCACUUGCAGGGGAAUCUCAUUGAGAUGAUUGAAAUCACUGCAGUGAGAAUGGAAAUUACUUGGGCUCCUUUCCUUUUAAAAACUGCAUGCAAGAACUGUGUGGUCGGAGUCCCAGUUCUCUUGGCCUUCCUUCAUGUCAAAGGUGCUUCAGUUCUCUCAUUGUCAUUAUGGAAGUAAAUAAAGUGUUUCAACUAAUAUGGGAAUUGGAACUCAAAGAAGGAAGUGCUUUUUGGGGGGGGGAGGUGCUGGAAACAAAACACAACCUAAUAACUGUAAAAAGAUCGUGAUGAUUACAAAAUGAAACACUAAGAAGUUGAGUAACUCCUGCUUUGAGAUUCUGCAAUCUUCAUUUGCCCCCUUGUGUUAGUGUACUAUGAAGCAAUCUUCAUGAUCAUAUGGAAUAUUUAAUCUAAUGAUAGGACUGGCCUGGUGUGGUACUGAGCUAGGGAAGAUGUUUGUGGGCUGAGCAAGCAAGAAGCCUGAUGCUGCUGUAGGUAGAAAAUUCUGUAGGCAACAGAAGACUGCAAAUAGAGAAAACCAUGUCCUCAUGAUUAUGUCAAAUGAGAAUUCCUGAGAAUUGGAUGUUAUGUUUUUCUGCUUUUAUCCUUAUAUGUUGCUAAACAAGUUACCAGGCUGUUGUUUUCACAGUACUUGUAUUCCUCCUUUCAGAGGUGUCUGACUUAUGAGCCUAACAGGAAACACUGGCUGUUCACAUUUGCAGCUGAGCUUCUUAGGAGAUGUUGUUUAAAUUAAAAUAUCAUGUGAUAUGAUGUCUGUUGACAGUCUCUUCUUGAACAAGGUACCUCACAUUCUUGCAUGCUACUAUAAUUUCAACAUCUCCAUGUCACAUUUAAAAGAGGGGCACUUAGCUUGAAGGGCUAUUGGUUCUCAGUUUAAAAACUCAGCACUUUUAUUUAGUGCUGUACUACAGUAAUCCUCAAGGAAUUUUCUGUGGCCUUUAUUCUGAUCUGAGAGGAAGAGGUGAGUAUUGUGCAUCUUUUAAAAACCAGGUCUGUAAUCACCUUUCCUUGUUGUCUGCUGAAGAGGAGAAACCGAGUUUCCACGUUUUUGAUUCAUGGUCUACUCAUCCAGUCCUGUGAACUCCAAAGCGUUGUGAUUUGUGUCCAGUCUUGUCAGGAAUUAAUUUUGCAUAUAUAGCUAUUAAUAUUAAACACUUGUUUGUCCCAUUUUUGUAAUGUGGUUUCAUGAGUAAUAUCUUUAAUAUUCUGCUGAACCUUUUACACACUAAAAGUAAUGUUCAUGGUUGAGCUUCAGCAUAUUUUACAAUAAAUUUUCUUAUAAAGA